Molecule: ribosomal RNA, 445 nt
Filed under: uncultured bacterium
Lineage: Bacteria
Description: partial 16S ribosomal RNA
Rfam family: Bacterial small subunit ribosomal RNA
Source: RNAcentral
GUGAGGAAUAUUGGUCAAUGGGCGAAAGCCUGAACCAGCCAUGUCGCGUGAAGGAUGAAUGUCCUAUGGAUUGUAAACUUCUUUUGCAGGAGGGUAAAGUGAGCUACGUGUAGUUCAUUGCAAGUACCCUGCGAAUAAGCAUCGGCUAACUCCGUGCCAGCAGCCGCGGUAAUACGGAGGAUGCGAGCGUUAUCCGGAUUUAUUGGGUUUAAAGGGUGCGUAGGCGGACUAAUUAGUCAGCGGUGAAAUUUUGCGGCUCAACCGUAAAACUGCCGUUGAAACUGUUAGUCUUGAGUGCGGUAGAGGUAGGCGGAAUGUGUGGUGUAGCGGUGAAAUGCUUAGAUAUCACACAGAACACCGAUUGCGUAGGCAGCUUACUGGAGCGCAACUGACGCUGAGGCACGAAAGCGUGGGGAUCGAACAGGAUUAGAUACCCGGGUAGUCC